RNAcentral lists this ribosomal RNA (412 nucleotides) under uncultured bacterium. RNAcentral's name for it is "partial 16S ribosomal RNA". It matches the Rfam family "Bacterial small subunit ribosomal RNA", at positions 355 to 759 of the family's 1533-position model. The record is from RNAcentral.
UGGGGAAUAUUGCACAAUGGGCGCAAGCCUGAUGCAGCCAUGCCGCGUGUGUGAAGAAGGCCUUCGGGUUGUAAAGCACUUUCAGCGAGGAGGAAGGGUUCAGUGUUAAUAGCACUGUUCAUUGACGUUACUCGCAGAAGAAGCACCGGCUAACUCCGUGCCAGCAGCCGCGGUAAUACGGAGGGUGCAAGCGUUAAUCGGAAUUACUGGGCGUAAAGCGCACGCAGGCGGUUUGUUAAGUCAGAUGUGAAAUCCCCGCGCUUAACGUGGAACUGCAUUUGAAACUGGCAAGCUAGAGUCUUGUAGAGGGGGGUAGAAUUCCAGGUGUAGCGGUGAAAUGCGUAGAGAUCUGGAGGAAUACCGGUGGCGAAGGCGGCCCCCCUGGACAAAGACUGACGCUCAGGUGCGAAAG